CCAGAAGGUGCUGCUGAGAAACAGCGGAAGAAAUUGCGUGCGACUUAAUCCGAGUUGCAGCUUUCUUUUUUACUGUGUGUUUCCUGAACCCUGCCCCUCAGCUGCUUCACCCCAGUGAGUUCUUCAUUUGUCUGACGGGAACAAAGUAGCUGCAUCGUGAAGGAGCCCAGAGGUCGGACUACACAGCAUUAAAUUGCACAGCUGGAGCCAGGACACUCUGGCUUUCUUCCCCUUCUCCCUUCAAAGCUUCUGCUGUUAACAGAUCUGCUCUGGCAAAGCAGAGGUUCUCAGCAUAUCUACCCCUCUGGAAUUCACAGUGUCCAAGCUAAUGCCCUAGCUGGAGGUGUCUGCUCUCCUGGAGGAGAAGAGCUGUGUCAAAGCUGUGAGGUGGCACACACGGACGGGAGAGCAGGUGCUCAACAAAAAUAGUAAGAAAUAAGUGAGGUCUCCAGCCAGCUGAGUGGGCUCCUGCAUGGGGCACGGCAGCUACUCUUUACAAUAGUAAAAUGAUUGUGUGGAAUGGGUUUGUACAGCCCUGGACUCUGUUUGACAGAGAUACAUAACUGUCUCUUUAAAUACUAAUGAAGAGGGCAAGACAUGUAGUACUAUUUAACUCCUAGCUUGUACUGUACCAGCAUUUCUCUAUUUCUUUUGCUACGGAAGCCUCUUGCCCAGUUAAGAAGCAGGCACUUCUUAAUCCAUUAGGCAACUAAGUAAUGUUAAGUUGAGACUAGUGUUUAGCCAUGGCCUGUAUGGGAAACCCAACCUGCCACUGCUGGAAGAUGGUGGUGAGGUUCACUGCCUAGGAACCCUGCUAACUGCACCCAAAUAUUGCAACAGGAUCAGAGCUCUGCCCAAAUUAGCCCUUGCAUUAACACAGCUGUGAAAAUACUGCGUACCCAAGAGGCCUUUAGCU
This is a long non-coding RNA of Nothoprocta perdicaria, 916 nucleotides long. RefSeq lists it as uncharacterized. The record is from RefSeq and is a predicted model, not a curated record. Lineage: Eukaryota; Metazoa; Chordata; Aves; Tinamiformes; Tinamidae. The transcript has 2 exons.